GGGUUGUGAGGUUAAGCGACUAAGCGUACACGGUGGAUGCCCUGGCAGUCAGAGGCGAUGAAGGACGUGCUAAUCUGCGAUAAGCGUCGGUAAGGUGAUAUGAACCGUUAUAACCGGCGAUUUCCGAAUGGGGAAACCCAGUGUGAUUCGUCACACUAUCAUUAACUGAAUCCAUAGGUUAAUGAGGCGAACCGGGGGAACUGAAACAUCUAAGUACCCCGAGGAAAAGAAAUCAACCGAGAUUCCCCCAGUAGCGGCGAGCGAACGGGGAGCAGCCCAGAGCCUGAAUCAGUGUGUGUGUUAGUGGAAGCGUCUGGAAAGGCGCGCGAUACAGGGUGACAGCCCCGUACACAAAAAUGCACAUACUGUGAGCUCGAUGAGUAGGGCGGGACACGUGGUAUCCUGUCUGAAUAUGGGGGGACCAUCCUCCAAGGCUAAAUACUCCUGACUGACCGAUAGUGAACCAGUACCGUGAGGGAAAGGCGAAAAGAACCCCGGCGAGGGGAGUGAAAAAGAACCUGAAACCGUGUACGUACAAGCAGUGGGAGCCUCUUUAUGGGGUGACUGCGUACCUUUUGUAUAAUGGGUCAGCGACUUAUAUUCUGUAGCAAGGUUAACCGAAUAGGGGAGCCGAAGGGAAACCGAGUCUUAACUGGGCGUUAAGUUGCAGGGUAUAGACCCGAAACCCGGUGAUCUAGCCAUGGGCAGGUUGAAGGUUGGGUAACACUAACUGGAGGACCGAACCGACUAAUGUUGAAAAAUUAGCGGAUGACUUGUGGCUGGGGGUGAAAGGCCAAUCAAACCGGGAGAUAGCUGGUUCUCCCCGAAAGCUAUUUAGGUAGCGCCUCGUGAAUUCAUCUCCGGGGGUAGAGCACUGUUUCGGCAAGGGGGUCAUCCCGACUUACCAACCCGAUGCAAACUGCGAAUACCGGAGAAUGUUAUCACGGGAGACACACGGCGGGUGCUAACGUCCGUCGUGAAGAGGGAAACAACCCAGACCGCCAGCUAAGGUCCCAAAGUCAUGGUUAAGUGGGAAACGAUGUGGGAAGGCCCAGACAGCCAGGAUGUUGGCUUAGAAGCAGCCAUCAUUUAAAGAAAGCGUAAUAGCUCACUGGUCGAGUCGGCCUGCGCGGAAGAUGUAACGGGGCUAAACCAUGCACCGAAGCUGCGGCAGCGACACUAUGUGUUGUUGGGUAGGGGAGCGUUCUGUAAGCCUGUGAAGGUGUACUGUGAGGUAUGCUGGAGGUAUCAGAAGUGCGAAUGCUGACAUAAGUAACGAUAAAGCGGGUGAAAAGCCCGCUCGCCGGAAGACCAAGGGUUCCUGUCCAACGUUAAUCGGGGCAGGGUGAGUCGACCCCUAAGGCGAGGCCGAAAGGCGUAGUCGAUGGGAAACAGGUUAAUAUUCCUGUACUUGGUGUUACUGCGAAGGGGGGACGGAGAAGGCUAUGUUGGCCGGGCGACGGUUGUCCCGGUUUAAGCGUGUAGGCUGGUUUUCCAGGCAAAUCCGGAAAAUCAAGGCUGAGGCGUGAUGACGAGGCACUACGGUGCUGAAGCAACAAAUGCCCUGCUUCCAGGAAAAGCCUCUAAGCAUCAGGUAACAUCAAAUCGUACCCCAAACCGACACAGGUGGUCAGGUAGAGAAUACCAAGGCGCUUGAGAGAACUCGGGUGAAGGAACUAGGCAAAAUGGUGCCGUAACUUCGGGAGAAGGCACGCUGAUAUGUAGGUGAAGUCCCUCGCGGAUGGAGCUGAAAUCAGUCGAAGAUACCAGCUGGCUGCAACUGUUUAUUAAAAACACAGCACUGUGCAAACACGAAAGUGGACGUAUACGGUGUGACGCCUGCCCGGUGCCGGAAGGUUAAUUGAUGGGGUUAGCGGUAACGCGAAGCUCUUGAUCGAAGCCCCGGUAAACGGCGGCCGUAACUAUAACGGUCCUAAGGUAGCGAAAUUCCUUGUCGGGUAAGUUCCGACCUGCACGAAUGGCGUAAUGAUGGCCAGGCUGUCUCCACCCGAGACUCAGUGAAAUUGAACUCGCUGUGAAGAUGCAGUGUACCCGCGGCAAGACGGAAAGACCCCGUGAACCUUUACUAUAGCUUGACACUGAACAUUGAGCCUUGAUGUGUAGGAUAGGUGGGAGGCUUUGAAGUGUGGACGCCAGUCUGCAUGGAGCCGACCUUGAAAUACCACCCUUUAAUGUUUGAUGUUCUAACGUUGGCCCCUGAUCGGGGUUGCGGACAGUGUCUGGUGGGUAGUUUGACUGGGGCGGUCUCCUCCUAAAGAGUAACGGAGGAGCACGAAGGUUGGCUAAUCCUGGUCGGACAUCAGGAGGUUAGUGCAAUGGCAUAAGCCAGCUUGACUGCGAGCGUGACGGCGCGAGCAGGUGCGAAAGCAGGUCAUAGUGAUCCGGUGGUUCUGAAUGGAAGGGCCAUCGCUCAACGGAUAAAAGGUACUCCGGGGAUAACAGGCUGAUACCGCCCAAGAGUUCAUAUCGACGGCGGUGUUUGGCACCUCGAUGUCGGCUCAUCACAUCCUGGGGCUGAAGUAGGUCCCAAGGGUAUGGCUGUUCGCCAUUUAAAGUGGUACGCGAGCUGGGUUUAGAACGUCGUGAGACAGUUCGGUCCCUAUCUGCCGUGGGCGCUGGAGAACUGAGGGGGGCUGCUCCUAGUACGAGAGGACCGGAGUGGACGCAUCACUGGUGUUCGGGUUGUCAUGCCAAUGGCACUGCCCGGUAGCUAAAUGCGGAAGAGAUAAGUGCUGAAAGCAUCUAAGCACGAAACUUGCCCCGAGAUGAGUUCUCCCUGACUCC
RNAcentral lists this ribosomal RNA (2805 nucleotides) under Escherichia coli. RNAcentral's name for it is "bacterial LSU rRNA". It matches the Rfam family "Bacterial large subunit ribosomal RNA". The record is from RNAcentral. Lineage: Bacteria; Pseudomonadati; Pseudomonadota; Gammaproteobacteria; Enterobacterales; Enterobacteriaceae.